RNAcentral lists this long non-coding RNA (549 nucleotides) under Rattus norvegicus (Norway rat). Its description in RNAcentral is "long non-coding RNA NONRATT025047". Lineage: Eukaryota; Metazoa; Chordata; Mammalia; Rodentia; Muridae. The record is from RNAcentral.
CCAGCCAUGUUGUCCUGGAAGAGGCUCUCCUAGAGGCCGGGGGCGGGGCGGCGCCGCCCCUGAUUGCGGUGCCAGGGCUGCUCCAGGGCUUUGGAGCGGACUGACUGCAAGGCGGAGGCUGUGGCCGUCACGGAGCUCCUAGGAAGACAGAAAUAAGAAUCAAGUGCUACAAUGACAACCUAUUUGGAAUUUAUCCAACAAAAUGAAGAACGAGACGGGGUCAGGUUCAGUUGGAAUGUUUGGCCAUCUAGUCGUCUGGAAGCUACAAGAAUGGUUGUUCCAGUGGCAGCCCUGUUUACACCUUUGAAGGAGAGACCUGACUUACCACCCAUUCAGUACGAGCCUGUCCUGUGCAGUAGGACGACUUGCCGUGCAGUUUUGAAUCCUUUAUGCGUGGUCCCCAGAUGCCUUUGAUAUUUCUCUAUGUGGUUGAUACUUGCAUAGAGGAUGAAGAUUUACAGGCUCUGAAGGAAUCCAUGCAGAUGUCGUUGAGCCUUUUGCCACCUACAGCUUUGGUUGGCCUUAUUACUUUUGGGAGAAUGGUGCAGG